UACAGAGGUCUCGAGCGUUAGGCGGAAUCACUGGGCUUAAAGCGUGUGUAGGCGGAUCGUUAAGUACCUUGUGAAAUCCCACGGCUUAACCGUGGAAUUGCUGGGUAUACUGGCGGUCUUGAGCCACUUAGGGGCUACCGGAACAAAUGGUGGAGCGGUGAAAUGCGUAGAUAUCAUGUGGAACGCCAAUGGUGAAAACAGGUAGCUGGGAGUGUGCUGACGCUGAGACACGAAAGCCAGGGGAGCAAACGGG
This 253-nucleotide ribosomal RNA is filed under the name uncultured bacterium. RNAcentral's name for it is "partial 16S ribosomal RNA". It matches the Rfam family "Bacterial small subunit ribosomal RNA", at positions 524 to 776 of the family's 1533-position model. The record is from RNAcentral.